This 209-nucleotide signal recognition particle RNA is filed under the name Clostridium sp. RNAcentral describes it as "signal recognition particle sRNA large type". It matches the Rfam family "Bacterial large signal recognition particle RNA". Rfam says of the family: The signal recognition particle (SRP) is a universally conserved ribonucleoprotein involved in the co-translational targeting of proteins to membranes. Archaeal SRP consists of a 7S RNA and homologues of the eukaryotic SRP19 and SRP54 proteins. Lineage: Bacteria; Bacillati; Bacillota; Clostridia; Eubacteriales; Clostridiaceae. The record is from RNAcentral. RNAcentral also lists the same sequence under 3 other names.
CCGUGCAUAUGCCUUUAGGCGGGCAUUUCUAUGGCUGGCUUUCUGAAGCGAUGUUGAAGUUUGGGUCUUACGCAAUGGACAUCCACGAACCGUGUCAGGGUGGGAACACAGCAGCACUAAGAGGAACCGUUCAUGUGCCGUAAGGGUGCCUGGCGGAGUCGUUUUCAGGGGUACCGCAUAGAAGUGUCUACCCAAAUGUGUAUGCGCGG